RNAcentral lists this transfer RNA (66 nucleotides) under Issikiopteryx taipingensis. RNAcentral's name for it is "tRNA-Trp". Lineage: Eukaryota; Metazoa; Arthropoda; Insecta; Lepidoptera; Lecithoceridae. The record is from RNAcentral.
AAGACUUUAAGUUAAAAAAACUAUUAAUCUUCAAAAUUACUUAUAAAGAAAUUUCUUUAAGUCUUA